RNAcentral lists this ribosomal RNA (460 nucleotides) under uncultured bacterium. RNAcentral's name for it is "partial 16S ribosomal RNA". It matches the Rfam family "Bacterial small subunit ribosomal RNA", at positions 338 to 795 of the family's 1533-position model. The record is from RNAcentral.
CCUACGGGGGGCAGCAGUGAGGAAUAUUGGUCAAUGGGCGCGAGCCUGAACCAGCCAAGUCGCGUGAGGGAAGACGGCCCUACGGGUUGUAAACCUCUUUUGCCGGGGAGCAACGGGCGCCACGUGUGGCGCCACUGAGAGUACCCGGAGAAAAAGCAUCGGCUAAUCCCGUGCCAGCAGCCGCGGUAAUACGGGGGAUGCGAGCGUUAUCGGGAUUUAUUGGGUUUAAAGGGUGGGAAGGGGGAGCUUUAAGCAAGUGUGAAAAUUGAGGGGCUCAACCCCUUCCCGCCAUUGAAACUGGCGCUCUUGAGUGGAAUAGAGGUAGGCGGAAUGCGUGGUGUAGCGGUGAAAUGCAUAGAUAUCACGCAGAACCCCGAUUGCGAAGGCAGCAUGCCGGCUUCCUACUGACGCUGAAGCACGAAAGCGUGGGGAUCGAACAGGAUUAGAUACCCCUGUAGUC